AAGAGAGUGCAAGAGAACGUGAAACCGGUGUAAUGGAAGCGAAUGGAGCCGACGUAUCUAUGUGCGUAUUCAGCGGAGUCGUUUCGAUGGCCAGUGUCGGGUUUUUAAGGUCUUCUGCAAAGUGGCCGCCCGCGCUUCCGGUUGUCGGCGGUCUUUGUGCAUUUGCGUACGGAGUGCGUCGAGUGGCGUGGUUGCGGCGGACGAACCGCGCUUAGAGGUGGUGUUCUUCGCGGAACGCAAAACCUGAGCGUUUCGGCGAGUCCGACUUGCGGCUACGUUGCGCGUUUUUUUGAGGACGGUGGUUGGGUUCGCGUGUCGGGCGUUGUGCUUGAUUCCGCUGGCCUUCGUGCACAUGUGUACGUGGCUUGUUUUCGGGGUUAGGCGCGCGUUCGACGUGCUCUCUUCCGUUCGUCUCGACGUCCAGUCGGUGACCCAUUCGACCCGUCUUGAAACACGGACCAAGGAGUUUAUGGUAUACGCGAGUUAUUGGGUCUUUUCGAAGCCCAUAAGCGAAAUGAAAGUGAGACGCCUUACGGUGUUUGAGUACGAGCGGUAAUGUUCGGCCCGGAAACGGGCGGGCACGCCGUGCAGUAUUGCCCCGUUUUGAGGAUUCGUUCCUGUUGCGGAGGUUGAGCGUAUGCUAUGAGACCCGAAAGAUGGUGAACUAUGCCUGAACAGGAUGAAGCCAGAGGAAACUCUGGUGGAGGUCCGAAGCGGUUCUGACGUGCAAAUCGAUCGUCUGAUUUUGGUAUAGGGGCGCAAGACUAAUCGAACCAUC
RNAcentral lists this ribosomal RNA (778 nucleotides) under Bursaphelenchus sp. WY-2009. RNAcentral describes it as "eukaryotic LSU rRNA". It matches the Rfam family "Eukaryotic large subunit ribosomal RNA", at positions 381 to 944 of the family's 3401-position model. The record is from RNAcentral. Lineage: Eukaryota; Metazoa; Nematoda; Chromadorea; Rhabditida; Aphelenchoididae.